Small nucleolar RNA from Amaranthus tricolor (Joseph's coat), 113 nucleotides. RefSeq annotates it as small nucleolar RNA snoR1. NCBI's taxonomy places the organism in Eukaryota, Viridiplantae, Streptophyta, Magnoliopsida, Caryophyllales, Amaranthaceae. The transcript has a single exon. The record is from RefSeq and is a predicted model, not a curated record.
GCCGAAAAUGAUGAGUGCUUGACUUAUUCUGACACCUCUUGUAUGAGAAGUGCUUAAAUUUUUUUAUAAAAAUUUAGGCUCUUCGCUGAGCAGAUAAAGCAACAUUCUGAGCC